AACCUCAAAUAACUGGUCAUUCUGAAUUCUGAAAGAGCACAGCACUCUGUGUCUACUUCUAUUAUAAGAUUCAUAUUUGACCAUAAUUAUUUAUUUCAGUAUGUCUCUCCAGUACCAGACUUUGAGUUCCCUGGAACUAAAAACAUUGCUUGGACCUCACACUGUACCUGCAUACCUAAGAGGAAACAAAUUUUACCAGCUGCUGUUGGAUGCAAAAGAUCUUUUUCGUUCUUGGAUGCUUUAUAUUUGGACAGAGAAAGAAUCAGAAUCCAUCCUGCUUUCUCCUAACUGGAAUUUGAGAGGCACGAGAAGGGAGCUAAACACACAGACUUUAAUAUCUGGUGGAAAGAGAUAAGGUGUCUCAAUGAAGGUUAGCAUCAUCAAGAGCUACUACUCCUGACGUUUUCAUUUUACUUUCCUCGGAUCUGCCUAAACUCAGUGUCUCUCCUAGAAAACCAGUCAACUCAUGAAAAACUGUUUGUAAGGAAACAUUCUCGACACAAAUAAAAAUAAAGGUUUGAGAUGAUAAAUAUGCU
This is a long non-coding RNA of Rhinopithecus roxellana (golden snub-nosed monkey), 536 nucleotides long. RefSeq lists it as uncharacterized. The transcript is spliced from 4 exons. The record is from RefSeq and is a predicted model, not a curated record. NCBI's taxonomy places the organism in Eukaryota, Metazoa, Chordata, Mammalia, Primates, Cercopithecidae.